UUGGGGAGUCAAUGGGACUGGGCACCGUGGAGCAGGGGCCAGUGCUCUUGAGGAGGAUCCGGCCGGCGCAGGAGCGGGGAGUGUUGUUAACAAUUCAUGGCGUGUGUUUCUGUGUCGGAGGCAGGAGGGAGCUGAAAAGAUGCAGUUUUAUCUCCAAAGGAAAGAUGGAUGUUGAAUAAAUGGAUAAAUGGUGCCUAAACUGUGACAACAUCACAUUGUUCCAAAUCACUCCAACUGUGUGGGAUCUGAGCACACCCGACGAGGUUUUGCCAUGUUGCCCAAGCUGAUCUCGAACUUCUUGGCUCAAGUGAUCUGCCUGCCUUCCAAAGUGCUGGGAUUACAGGCAUGAGCCACCAAGCGCAGCCAUGAUUUAUUAGAUCACUUCUAAAAGCCCUCUCUCCAUCUCCAAGCCAGCAAGUGCUUCUUUGCACCCCAGCUCUAAAACAAAGCCCUUGGGGACACAAUCAAAGACAGUAGUUGCCAAGAGGAAUAGGGAGCAUGGAAAGAAGGUGCUGGAUGUGCAUACAGCUAACCUGGUAACUCCAAACUGGAUGAGCUCAUUCCUUGAGACUGGAAUUACAAAAUUGGAACAGCUCACUAAUAAUUGAAGAUGAUUUGGGAAAACCAUUAUCCUUCCUCAGGUUUUACAAGGUUUUUAUGACUCAUUUAUAAGGUCCUACAGCUAAAAAAAAUCAUGCUGUAUUUCAGAGAAGUUUAACUUGAAAAUAUUUUUUUCACUAAUUAAAAAUUCCCAUUAUACCUUAUAGUUGCAAUUGUAUCCUUAUUGCUGAAAGAUAUCCAUACUACCUACCACUUCUUUAAAAUUUAAAAAAUUCUAUAAAUAAAAAAUAUAACAAUUGCAAAUAUGUAAAUAACUUCCAACAUAA
This 887-nucleotide long non-coding RNA is filed under the name Homo sapiens (human). RNAcentral's name for it is "HSALNT0376682". Lineage: Eukaryota; Metazoa; Chordata; Mammalia; Primates; Hominidae. The record is from RNAcentral.